AUUGAACGCUGGCGGCAUGCUUUACACAUGCAAGUCGAACGGUAACAGGCCGCAAGGUGCUGACGAGUGGCGGACGGGUGAGUAAUGCAUCGGAACGUGCCCAGUCGUGGGGGAUAACUACUCGAAAGAGUAGCUAAUACCGCAUACGAUCUAUGGAUGAAAGCGGGGGACCGGAAGGCCUCGCGCGAUUGGAGCGGCCGAUGUCAGAUUAGGUAGUUGGUGGGGUAAAGGCUCACCAAGCCAACGAUCUGUAGCUGGUCUGAGAGGACGACCGGCCACACUGGGACUGAGACACGGCCCAGACUCCUACGGGAGGCAGCAGUGGGGAAUUUUGGACAAUGGGCGCAAGCCUGAUCCAGCAAUGCGGCGUGCAGGAAGAAGGCCUUCGGGUUGUAAUCUGCUUUUGUGCGGAACGAAACGGCUCUGGUUAAUACCCGGGGCUAAUGACGGUACCGUAAGAAUAAGCACCGGCUAACUACGUG
RNAcentral lists this ribosomal RNA (482 nucleotides) under uncultured bacterium. RNAcentral describes it as "partial 16S ribosomal RNA". It matches the Rfam family "Bacterial small subunit ribosomal RNA", at positions 30 to 507 of the family's 1533-position model. The record is from RNAcentral.